Long non-coding RNA from Panthera uncia (snow leopard), 3053 nucleotides. RefSeq lists it as uncharacterized. The transcript has 2 exons. The record is from RefSeq and is a predicted model, not a curated record. Lineage: Eukaryota; Metazoa; Chordata; Mammalia; Carnivora; Felidae.
UCGGCCCAGAGCCUGACGCGGGGCUCGAACUCACGGACCGCGAGAUCGUGACCUGGCUGAAGUCGGAGGCUUAACCGACUGCGCCACCCAGGCGCCCCAACCGUUCACUUUUUUUAUAGAAUCCCUAAAGAGAAUAUUGAAUCGGCACACUUAAAGGUUUCAUCCCUUGUGGCCAGCUUGAAACAAAGCUUUGGCCCAAACUUAUAAUCCAUUUGUCUAAGAAGGUGUUUUAACAACAUUUAGGAAGAAAUACUGUAAUUUUUUUUACUAUGUUGUGUGGGUAAGAAAUUUCAUUGAAAGGUAUUAAGUGUAUAUACAAGAGUCCUUAAAUAUAUGGAAUAUUGGUUUCUUUGAAAGCUGUGGGCACUUUGACUAAUGGAGAGAAAUUUCUUCUUUGGAUAACAUAAUUCAAACUUAGCUGUUGUCAUGCAGUAAAAGAUUUUCCUUCAGAUUCUUUCUAUGAGCAAACUGGUGCCUUGAACAUGGGAUCCAAGUGCCCUGAGGAAACAACAUCUCUUCAUAGGUGGAAACAGGAUUAACAUCAUGAUUUAAUUAUUAUACCAAAUACAUCAUGGAUAAUCUAUGGCCUUUAAUAAACCUAACAGUUAAAGGCUGAACUGGUAAGAAAUGAACUUCAUUUCUGCAUUUAAAAAAUACAUUUAAUCCAAUGGGAAAUAAAAAUGAAUGCUGGGAUAAAAAUUUAAACUUGAUCGUAAAUAAAUAAAAAUUGAAUGAAAUAUAACAAAAGGAUAGGUUGUGUAUUUUAUGUAUUGUGUAUUAAUAUAUAUUUUAGAAAAUUAUUUUUUAUCGUGUCUGUACAACAACUUUGUUGACAUUAUCUGGAAACUGUUUUAGUUACCAAGGAAAGAUAAAUGAGCCUUUAAAUGUACAUAAUACCAUAGAGUGAAACCCAUACUCCUAUACCUUUUGGGAUGCUAGAUUGUGCCAAAUGGCUCAAGGUGGCUCUAAAUUAGGCUCUAAAUUAGACCUCAAGUUUUGAGCAGAGCCACCAAUGGCGGGUUGGGCUUCACCCUAUCCAAGGGUUGACCGGCUAGUAGUUUUCACACAGGAUUUAUGUUAAUAAGCAAAAUAGCAGACCAGCCCAGGUAAAUUAUACUGGCUUAUCUGCUUUCAUCAGCCCUGAGUCUACACCAAAAGAGAAUGAACUCUUGUAUUAAGGAAAUUGACUUUAGGGGCAAUGGAGAAUAAUAAUAACUAUUUCACAGAAUUUUUAGAAGGAUUAAAAGCAAUGAUGUAUAUAAUGUACUUAGCACAAUGUUCGGUGGAAACAGGAGGUACUUAAUAUUUAUUAUUUUUAGUAUAUUAAAUUGUUAAUAAGUGUAUUAGAUUAUUAUUUAAUAUACUAAAUUAAUCAUAUUUAUUAGCUCCUUCUCUCUCCCAAGGUCGAGAUUCACAUGUACGCAGGGUCAGGGACUGUCAGUGAGGAAAGCAUGAUAUAACCAAAAGAAUCAUGUCUGAAUAGUGCUUUAUACACUACAAAAUGCUUUAAUAUGCAUUAUUACACUUGGACCUCAGCUCACCAGCAACCACCCAAAGUGCUCUGUGGGACAAAAGUAAGUACAUGCAGUUUGUGGGUCACUGGGAACCUGGUAAAGAAGGAUGUUAUAUUGUAGCCACACUCCGAGAGGAGGUCUGAUGUCUGAGGGUCCUGACUCUCAGGUAACACCCCCAGUCCAGGCCUCACCCCACGUCUCACAGUCACAAAACUCCAAUCUGGGCAAACAAGUGGAGGGAUUUCGGGAACAGCAGACUUCCAGCGCUAAAACUGGGAAAGUCUCUAGCAAACCAAGAUGGUCAGUCACCCUAAGUCUAAGAGAAGUGAACACCAACCCCCACAGGCCAAGAGUGCAAGAAAGGCAGCCAUCAGAGCCGUAGGAAACGUGCUGCUUAGCACACGCUGUAGGGCACCAAGGUUUCAUGGUGUGAGAACCUUACAUGUUGUUUGAUCUGGGAACACAGCUUCUCAAAGCUCUCAGCUUCCCAAGUGAAGACAGGAACGGGUUACGAAGCAUUUCUCACCAAAGCCCUGUCAGGGGUUCAGUGUUGGUGCCCUUCUCCCUCUAUGGUUCAGUCAUACUCUCCAAAACUUGUAGGUGUGUCCCCGCCUGCACUGGGUGACCACCCACCUCAGGUUUCCCUUCCCAGAAGCAGAUGUCUGUAGGAGGGCCAAGCAGCUUCGCUAAAGCAACUUUACAGCUGUGGCAAGAAACUGUCACAAUGUAAAGUAGAGGGCACCAUCUCCAAGCCUCUCCUUUAAAAAAGUCUAAAAACUCCCACCUGACACAGAAUUAAAGAACUUCAGGGGUGCCUGGUGACUCAGUAGGUUGAGCAUCUGACUGGAUUUCAGCUCAGGUCAUGAUCCCAGGGUCAUGGGAUCAGGCCCCGCCUCAGGCUCCACAAUGAACAUGCAGCCUACUUAGAAGUCUCUCUCUCUCUCUUUCCCUCUGCCCCUCUCCCACCCUCCUCUAAAAUUUAAAAAAACAAAAAACAAAAAAACUUUAGGCCCUAAAAAAUCAUGACAUCUUUUGCUUUCAGUUUUGUUCCUCACCCUUGCAUUAGUUUCAGAGCCUGAUUCUGGAGCUCACAGCACAUUGCUCUGCCGAUUUUGGAUCUGGUGUAUAGGAGUUCACUGAAUUAUCUCCAGAAGAAAUGCUGAGUCAUAAGGCUGUGCAAGCUCAGAAGAGACUAUAUUUAGAAGGAAGUGACUUAUUGGAAAGGAGGAAGUAAAGAAGAAGACAGCAGCGAGAGGAGUUAAUGAUGAUGAAAGAUGGAAGACAUGGUCGUGAAACCAGCCGGUUCCUUCCUUCAGUUUUUGCACCUGUGUUUUAUUGCACUUAAAGGGAGAACACCAAGGUUUGUUUUGUCUUAUUUUUUCUCUUCUUUAGGCAUGGGGGAAAAACUAGGGAAAGAAUGAUGGUAAGAUAGAAAUAAGAAGAGAGAGUUGUGAGUAAAAAUGAAAGAAUUAAUGAAGAGCAAAGACACAGACACCUGAGAACUUAAAAAAAAAAAAAAAAAAGGAAGGAAGGAGAAAA